GACGAACGCUGGCGGCGUGCUUAACACAUGCAAGUCGAACGGAAAGGCCCUGCUUUUGUGGGGUGCUCGAGUGGCGAACGGGUGAGUAACACGUGAGUAACCUGCCCUUGACUGUGGGAUAACUUCAGGAAACUGGGGCUAAUACCGGAUAGGAGCUCCUGCUGCAUGGUGGGGGUUGGAAAGUUUCGGCGGUUGGGGAUGGACUCGCGGCUUAUCAGCUUGUUGGUGGGGUAGUGGCUUACCAAGGCUUUGACGGGUAGCCGGCCUGAGAGGGUGACCGGCCACAUUGGGCCUGAGAUACGGCCCAGCCUCCUACGGGAGGCAGCAGUGGGGAAUAUUGCACAAUGGGCGGAAGCCUGAUGCAGCAACGCCGCGUGCGGGAUGACGGCCUUCGGGUUGUAAACCGCUUUCGCCUGUGACGAAGCGUGAGUGACGGUAAUGGGUAAAGAAGCACCGGCUAACUACGUG
This 468-nucleotide ribosomal RNA is filed under the name uncultured bacterium. Its description in RNAcentral is "partial 16S ribosomal RNA". It matches the Rfam family "Bacterial small subunit ribosomal RNA", at positions 28 to 507 of the family's 1533-position model. The record is from RNAcentral.